UAUCUAUAAAACAAUGACACUAAAUAGUACAGUCACAAAAUUCACAUUUUUUUAAAUCUAUUUUUCACAGGUUUUUGCCUGCAAUAUGAGUUUUGUUAUACUUACAGACACCAUUCAAACUGUUUUAGAAAAUUCAGAGUGUUUUCUAUCCGAAUGUGUUAAUAAUAUGCAUAUCUUAGCUUCUGAGUUGGUGUAGGAGGCAGUUAAAAAUGGGCCCAUAUUUUUUUCAAAAUUUCUCAAUACUGCCCCCGAGCCCCAACAGGUUUUAAACAGCGUUUGACAUGCUUCGAAGUACGGUAAUGGAAUAUUUUGAUUUUUUUUGUCACGAAACCCGCCGGGCGCGUCACCCUUCUUUACCCUUCGGAUAGUGUCUUGAACGCACGAACAAAACGCCGCUAUUUGGAUAUAACUAUGGAUUAUUUGGAACCAAACCAACAUUUGUUAUUGAAGUAGAAGUCCUGGGAGUGCAUUCUGAUGAAGAACAGCAAAGGUAAUCCAAUUUUUGUUAUAGUAAAUCUGAGUUUGGUGAGUACCACACUUGGUGGGUGUCAAAAUAGCUAGCCCGUGAUGGCCGGGCUAUCUACUCAGGAAUUUGGAAAAUGUGCUUUUUCCUUUAUGCAAUCGGACAUAGCGAUUGCAUAAAGGAGUUCUGUAUCUAUAAUUCUUAAAAUAAUUGUUAUGUUUUUUGUGAACGUUUAUCGUGAGUAAUUUAGUAAAUUCACCGGAAGUGUUCGGUGGGAAUGCUAGUCACAUGCUAAUGUAAAAAGCUGGUUUUUGAUAUAAAUAUGAACUUGAUUGAACAAAACAUGCAUGUAUUGUAUAACAUAAUGUCCUAGGAGUGUCAUCUGAUGAAGAUCAUCAAAGGUUAGUGCUGCAUUUAGCUGCGGUUUUGUUUUUUGUGACAUUAUAUGCUAGCUUGAAAAAUGGGUGUCUGAUUAUUUCUGUCUGGGUACUCUGCUGACAUAAUCUAAUGUUUUGCUUUCGUUGUAAAGCCUUUUUGAAAUCGGACAGUGUGGUUAGAUUAACGAGAGUCUUGUCUUUUAAAAUGGUGUAAAAUAGUCAUAUGUUUGAGAAAUCGAAGUAAUAGCAUUUCUAAGGUAUUUAAAUAUCGCGCCACGGGAUUCCACUGGCUGUUGAGUAGGUGGGACGCAAGCGUCCCACCUAGCCCAUAGAGGUUAACUAAAUAUGCAGGUUUAAGAAUAUAAAGCAUUGAUGUUUAUGGUUAGGUACAUUGGUGCAACGACAGUGUUUUUUUCUCAAAUGCGCUUGUUAAAUCAACACUCGUUUGGCGAAAUAGGCUGUGAUUCAAUAAUAAAUUAACAGGCACCGCAUCGAUUAUAUGCAACGCAGGACAGAUAAACUAGUAAUAUCAUCAACCAUGUGUAGUUAACUAGUGAUUAUGUUAAGAUUGAUAGUUUUUUAUAAGAUAAGUUUAAUGCUAGCUAGCAACUUACCUUGGCUUCUUGCUGCCCUCGCACAACAGGUAGUCAGCCUGCCAUGCAGGCUCCUCGUGCGUUGGAUUGGAUUAGUAACCGGAAGGUUGCAAGAACGAUUCCGCGAAUCCCUCCUGAACAAGGCAGUUAACCCCCGUUCCUAGGCCGUCAUUGAAAAUAAGAAUGUGUUCUUAAUCUGACUUGCCUAGUUAAAUAAAGGUGUAAACAAAAAAAAGUAUUUAAAAAAAAUCGGCAAAUCGGUGGCCAAAAAUACCGAUUAUCGAUUGUUAUGAAAACUUGAAAUCGGCCCUAAUUAAUCGCCCAUUCCGAUUAAUCGGUCGACCUCUAGUCUCAUGUGCCCUCAUCGACUGGCACAUUGAAUGUUUCCUCUCUAGGCACUUGUGUUUUCUUUUGUCUUCCCAGUCAAAUCCUGUCCAGCACUAAAGUCAAGCCUCUGAACACCUCAACUCAUGCCUCAUACCCUCAUUCAAUCACUACUGUGAUCCUUUCCCAACAAUGUACAGCCGUUACAGAAUUACCCACCAACAACGGACCAAGCAGCAGAGGAAGGAGCAGCACAAGGAGAGGCACCAGGAGAAAGGCUAUCUGGAGUCAUGGACUUGGGAGGAAAUCCUGGACGGGAAAGGACCAUGGACUCAAGCUGGGGAUUAUCGCCGCCCACAGUGGGAGAUCGAGGCGGCGAGAGCUGAGAGGCGCUGGUAUGAGGAGAGGGAGCGCAACGGACACGGGAGGCAGCCCCACAAUUUUUUUGGGGGGGGCACACGGGGAGAUUGGCGGAGUCAGGUGGUAGACCUAAGCCAACUCCCCGUGCUUACCGGAAGCAGCGUGGUACUGGUAAGACACCGUGUUAUGCUGUGGAGUGCACGGUGUCCCCAGUGCGCGUUCAAAGCCCGGUGCGCUACAUACCAGCCCCCCGCAAGUGCCAUGCGAGUGCAGGCAUCGAGCCAGGACGGAUGGUGCCAGCUCAGCGCGUCUGGUCUCCAGUGCGCCUCCUCGGUCCAGGUUAUCCUGCGCCGGCGUUGUGCACUGUGUCUCCAGAGCGCUGGGAGAGUCCAGUUCGCCCAAUGCCUGCUCUCCGCCCGUGCCGGGCCAAAGUGGGCAUUCAGCCUGGAGUGUGGGUAAAGAGUGUCCGUACCAGAACUCCAGUGCUCCCCCACAGCCCGGUUUAUCCUGUGCCUCCUCCUCGGACCAGGCCUCCAGUGGGUCUCCCCAUCCUGGUCCAUCCUGUGUCACCUCCCAGGACUAGGCCUCCAGUGGGUCUCCCCAUCCUGGUCCGUCCUGUGCCACCUCCCAGGACUAGGCCUCCAGUGGGUCUCACCUGUCCAGAGCAGUCAGAGCUGCCCGCCAGUCAACAGUCGUCAGAGCUGCCCGCCAGUCAACAGUCGUCAGAGCUGCCCGCCAGUCAACAGUCGUCAGAGCUGCCCGCCAGUCAACAGUCGUCAGAGCUGCCCACCAGUCAACAGUCGUCAGAGCUGCCCGCCAGUCAACAGUCGUCAGAGCUGCCCGCCAGUCAACAGUCGCCAGAGCAGACUGCGCUGAACUGCCGGAGUGGCCAGACUGCCCUGAACUGCCGGAGUGGCCAGACUGCCCUAAACUGCCGGAGUGGCCAGACUGCCCUGAACUGCCGGAGUGGCCAGACUGCCCAGAACUGCC
Molecule: long non-coding RNA, 3107 nt
Filed under: Salmo salar (Atlantic salmon)
Lineage: Eukaryota; Metazoa; Chordata; Actinopteri; Salmoniformes; Salmonidae
Description: lncRNA (ENSSSAG00000109822.1)
Source: RNAcentral